CUUGGAGCUACAAAAUACCCAGCUCUAAGAAACCUUAGAUCUGGAUCCCAACCAAAUACUCCAUUGGGCAAGUUCAAUAAGCUUGGUUAUAAGUCGAGACUAGCAUUAUAGACAAUCAUACAACAAUUGGACUCUUAACACAUUCCAACAUUUCCAUCCCCUCCCUAUGCUGCUGCCAUCAUCCUGAUCAAGCUCGGCACCCUGCUUCUCACAGGCCACUAUCCCCCUCCCAUGUCACCACCGUUACGGGCAUGGCACCCUAGCAUGAUGAUCCGUGCUAAAGCCACCUUCUUUCAAGCUUGCCACUCA
This 309-nucleotide long non-coding RNA is filed under the name Setaria viridis. RNAcentral's name for it is "long non-coding RNA (SVIR_LNC010391)". The record is from RNAcentral. Lineage: Eukaryota; Viridiplantae; Streptophyta; Magnoliopsida; Poales; Poaceae.